CUACCGGCGUAACGCGGUGGUGGCUCUCGAACCAGGUCAGGGUCGGAAGACAGCAGCCUUAAGGGAUGCCCAUCAGGUGCCGUUACUCACUGGUAGCGC
This 99-nucleotide signal recognition particle RNA is filed under the name Pleurocapsa sp. SU_196_0. RNAcentral describes it as "signal recognition particle sRNA small type". It matches the Rfam family "Bacterial small signal recognition particle RNA". From Rfam's summary of the family: The signal recognition particle (SRP) is a universally conserved ribonucleoprotein involved in the co-translational targeting of proteins to membranes. Archaeal SRP consists of a 7S RNA and homologues of the eukaryotic SRP19 and SRP54 proteins. The record is from RNAcentral. Lineage: Bacteria; Bacillati; Cyanobacteriota; Cyanophyceae; Pleurocapsales; Pleurocapsaceae.